RNAcentral lists this transfer RNA (85 nucleotides) under Rhodospirillales bacterium RIFCSPLOWO2_12_FULL_67_15. RNAcentral's name for it is "tRNA-Leu". It matches the Rfam family "tRNA". From Rfam's summary of the family: Transfer RNA (tRNA) molecules are approximately 80 nucleotides in length. Their secondary structure includes four short double-helical elements and three loops (D, anti-codon, and T loops). Further hydrogen bonds mediate the characteristic L-shaped molecular structure. tRNAs have two regions of fundamental functional importance: the anti-codon, which is responsible for specific mRNA codon recognition, and the 3' end, to which the tRNAs corresponding amino acid is attached (by aminoacyl-tRNA synthetases). tRNAs cope with the degeneracy of the genetic code in two manners: having more than one tRNA (with a specific anti-codon) for a particular amino acid; and 'wobble' base-pairing, i.e. permitting non-standard base-pairing at the 3rd anti-codon position. The record is from RNAcentral. RNAcentral also lists the same sequence under 3 other names. Lineage: Bacteria; Pseudomonadati; Pseudomonadota; Alphaproteobacteria; Rhodospirillales.
GCGGGCGUGGUGGAAUUGGUAGACACGCGGGAUUUAGGUUCCCGUGACGCAAGUCUUGGGGGUUCGAGUCCCUCCGCCCGCACCA